RNAcentral lists this unclassified non-coding RNA (918 nucleotides) under Hevea brasiliensis (rubber tree). The record is from RNAcentral. Lineage: Eukaryota; Viridiplantae; Streptophyta; Magnoliopsida; Malpighiales; Euphorbiaceae.
GCCCCCCAUCUCUCUCUCUCUCACAAUUGCUAGAGAGUUACACUUAGGAUUGCUGUCAACAAUUUACUACCUUUUUGUUUAUACAAAAAAGCUGAAUUUCAUUUCCAAUUUACCUGGUAGUUGGAGUAAUCAAUAGGAAUUGAAAUGGCCCUCAAUUUGCUUUCUCCUGCUGAAAUUAAGUCAAUCUCUUUCUUGGACAAUUCAAAGUCCAGCUACAAUCUUAGCCAUCUUAAGUUUACAGGUGGACUGUCUAUCAGAAGAAAGGAGUGCAGUGGGGCAUUUGCUAAGAGAGUUCAGUGUUCAGCACAGCUGCCACCACCUCCUGCCUGGCCUGGAAGGGCUGUUGCUGAGCCAGGAAGGCAGAGUUGGGAUGGUCCAAAGCCUAUCUCAAUUGUUGGGUCGACUGGCUCUAUAGGAACUCAGACACUGGAUAUAGUCGCUGAGAAUCCGGACAAGUUUAGAGUUGUUGCACUUGCUGCUGGUUCAAAUGUGACUCUUCUUGCUGAUCAGGUCAAAACAUUCAGGCCAAAAUUAGUUGCUGUAAGAAAUGAAUCAUUGGUUGAAGAACUCAAAGAUGCUCUUGCUGAUAUGGAAGACAAGCCUGAGAUUAUACCUGGGGAGCAGGGUGUGAUCGAGGUUGCCCGCCAUCCUGAUGCUGUCACUGUAGUUACAGGAAUAGUUGGCUGCGCAGGUUUGAAGCCUACAGUGGCUGCCAUCGAAGCAGGAAAAGACAUUGCUUUGGCCAAUAAAGAGACUUUAAUUGCUGGUGGUCCAUUUGUCCUUCCUCUUGCACACAAGCAUAAAGUGAAGAUUCUUCCUGCAGAUUCAGAACAUUCAGCUAUAUUCCAGUGCAUACAAGGCUUGCCAGAGGGUGCCCUUAGGCGCAUUAUAUUAACUGCAUCUGGAGGGGCUUUCAGG